This 449-nucleotide ribosomal RNA is filed under the name uncultured bacterium. RNAcentral describes it as "partial 16S ribosomal RNA". It matches the Rfam family "Bacterial small subunit ribosomal RNA", at positions 29 to 523 of the family's 1533-position model. The record is from RNAcentral.
AACGAACGCUGGCGGCAUGCCUAACACAUGCAAGUCGAACGAGACCUUCGGGUCUAGUGGCGCACGGGUGCGUAACGCGUGGGAACCUGCCCUAAGGCUCGGAAUAACACAGAGAAAUUUGUGCUAAUACCGGAUAAUGUCUUCGGACCAAAGAUUUAUCGCCUUUGGAUGGGCCCGCGUAGGAUUAGCUAGUUGGUGAGGUAAAGGCUCACCAAGGCGACGAUCCUUAGCUGGUCUUAGAGGAUGAUCAGCCACACUGGGACUGAGACACGGCCCAGACUCCUACGGGAGGCAGCAGUGGGGAAUAUUGGACAAUGGGCGCAAGCCUGAUCCAGCAAUGCCGCGUGAGUGAUGAAGGCCUUAGGGUUGUAAAGCUCUUUUACUGGGGAUGAUAAUGACAGUACCCAGAGAAUAAGCCCCGGCUAACUCCGUGCCAGCCGCCGCCGUAA